This 88-nucleotide transfer RNA is filed under the name Candidatus Bathyarchaeota archaeon. RNAcentral describes it as "tRNA-Leu". It matches the Rfam family "tRNA". Rfam says of the family: Transfer RNA (tRNA) molecules are approximately 80 nucleotides in length. The record is from RNAcentral. Lineage: Archaea; Thermoproteati; Candidatus Bathyarchaeota.
GCGGAGGUAGCCAAGCCUGGUCCAAGGCGCGGGGCUCAGAACCCCGUGGCGUAGGCCUUCGUGGGUUCAAAUCCCACCCUCCGCACCA